This 490-nucleotide ribosomal RNA is filed under the name uncultured bacterium. RNAcentral describes it as "SSU rRNA". It matches the Rfam family "Bacterial small subunit ribosomal RNA", at positions 26 to 521 of the family's 1533-position model. The record is from RNAcentral.
AGGAUGAACGCUGGCGGCGUGCUUAACACAUGCAAGUCGAACGGUGAAGUGAGGAGCUUGCUCCUUGCGGAUCAGUGGCGAACGGGUGAGUAACACGUGAGUAACCUGCCCUUGACUCUGGGAUAAGCGUUGGAAACGACGUCUAAUACCGGAUACGACCUCCGAAGGCAUCUUGUGGAGGUGGAAAGAAUUUCGGUCAAGGAUGGACUCGCGGCCUAUCAGCUAGUUGGUGAGGUAAUGGCCCACCAAGGCGACGACGGGUAGCCGGCCUGAGAGGGUGACCGGGCCAACGACUGGGACUGGAGACACGGCCCAGACUCCUACGGGAGGCAGCAGUGGGGAAUAUUGCACAAUGGGCGCAAGCCUGAUGCAGCAACGCCGCGUGAGGGACGACGGCCUUCGGGUUGUAAACCUCUUUUAGUAGGGAAGAAGCGAAAGUGACGGUACCUGCAGAAAAAGCACCGGCUAACUACGUGCCAGCAGCCGCGGU